Oncorhynchus keta (chum salmon) is the source of this 719-nucleotide long non-coding RNA. RefSeq lists it as uncharacterized. NCBI's taxonomy places the organism in Eukaryota, Metazoa, Chordata, Actinopteri, Salmoniformes, Salmonidae. The record is from RefSeq and is a predicted model, not a curated record. The transcript has 3 exons.
GAGAGAGAGAAGGGCAGAAAAAGAGAAGAGGUCUGGGUCAGCAGCUUCAGUCCAACAGCCUUGGAGAGGACUCAGGGACAGGCAUCAGAGAGAGCGAAGGUCAGAGAAAGAGAAGAGGUCUGGGUCAGCAGCUUCAGUCCAGCAGCCUUGGAGAGGACUCAGGGACAGGCAUCAGAGAGAGAGAGAAGGGCAGAAAAAGAGAAGAGGUCUGGGUCAGCAGCUUCAGUCCAGCAGCCUUGGAGAGGACUCAGGGACAGGCAUCAGAGAGAGAGAAGGGCAGAGAAAGAUAAGAGGUCUGGGUCAGCAGCUUCAGUCCAGCAGCCUUGGAGAGGACUCAGGGACAGGCAUCAGAGAGAGAAGGGCAGAGAAAGAUAAGAGGUCUGGGUCAGCAGCUUCAGUCCAGCAGCCUUGGAGAGGACUCAGGGACAGGCAUCAGAGAGAGAGAAGGUCAGAGAAAGAUAAGAGGUCUGGGUCAGCAGCUUCAGGCCAGCAGCCUUGGAGAGGACUCAGGGACAGGCAUCAGAGAGAGAGAGAAGGUCAGAGAAAGAGAAGAGGUCUGGAUCAGCAGCUUCAGUCCAGCAGCCUUGGCGCUUCUGCCACAUUCUUUCUUUUCUGGAUCCAUUUAUUGUGCCUCGGGCAACGAGUGACAGUUUUACAGCCAGACCCUUUACGUCAUCCACAAGUGUGGGCGCCACUGGUGCAUCAAGGCCCUCAACGUC